UACGUAGGGUGCGAGCGUUAAUCGGAAUUACUGGGCGUAAAGCGUGCGCAGGCGGUUUUGUAAGCCAGAUGUGAAAGCCCCGGGCUCAACCUGGGAAUGGCAUUUGGGACUGCAAGGCUGGAGUUUGGCAGAGGAGACUGGAAUUCCUGGUGUAGCAGUGAAAUGCGUAGAUAUCAGGAAGAACACCCGUGGCUAAGGCGGCUCUCUAGUACGGUACUGACGCUGAGACACGAAAGCCAGGGGAGCGAACGGG
RNAcentral lists this ribosomal RNA (253 nucleotides) under uncultured bacterium. RNAcentral's name for it is "partial 16S ribosomal RNA". It matches the Rfam family "Bacterial small subunit ribosomal RNA", at positions 524 to 776 of the family's 1533-position model. The record is from RNAcentral.